Molecule: transfer RNA, 71 nt
Filed under: Helicotheca tamesis
Lineage: Eukaryota; Bacillariophyta; Thalassiosirophyceae; Lithodesmiales; Lithodesmiaceae
Rfam family: tRNA
About the family: Transfer RNA (tRNA) molecules are approximately 80 nucleotides in length. Their secondary structure includes four short double-helical elements and three loops (D, anti-codon, and T loops). Further hydrogen bonds mediate the characteristic L-shaped molecular structure. tRNAs have two regions of fundamental functional importance: the anti-codon, which is responsible for specific mRNA codon recognition, and the 3' end, to which the tRNAs corresponding amino acid is attached (by aminoacyl-tRNA synthetases). tRNAs cope with the degeneracy of the genetic code in two manners: having more than one tRNA (with a specific anti-codon) for a particular amino acid; and 'wobble' base-pairing, i.e. permitting non-standard base-pairing at the 3rd anti-codon position.
Source: RNAcentral
GGGGUAUAGCUCAGUUGGUAGAGCACCGCCUUUGCACGGCGGCGGUCAGCGGUUCGAAUCCGCUUACCUCC